Molecule: ribosomal RNA, 783 nt
Filed under: Haptophyta environmental samples
Lineage: Eukaryota; Haptophyta
Description: eukaryotic LSU rRNA
Rfam family: Eukaryotic large subunit ribosomal RNA
Source: RNAcentral
CCGCCCCGAAUUGUAGUCUAGAAAGGCGCCAUCGGCCGCGCCCGCCGCUCAAAUCCCUUGGAACAGGGUAUCGGAGAAGGUGAGAAUCCUGUACCGUGGUGGUCCGCGGCCGCACGAUGCGCCCUUGCAGAGUCGGGUUGCUUGGGAUUGCAGCUUGAAGUGGGUGGUAAAUUCCAUCUAAAGCUAAAUAUUGGCUCAUGACCGAUAGCGAACAAGUACCGUGAGGGAAAGAUGCAAAGAACUUUGAAAAGAGAGUUAAAGAGUGCUUGAAAUCGGCGAGAGGAAACCCAUUUGCGCCCGGUUUGUGCCGUCGACUCAGCCGUCUCGAAGCGGUGCACUUUGUCGGCACGGGUCCGCCGCGACUAUGCGCGUCUCAUAAUCACUGGGGAGGCUUCGGUGAGCCCAGACAUGUUCGCGCGUGGUCUCGUCGGACGGAACGGGCGCAACUGACCCGUCUAGAAACACGGACCAAGGAGUCUGACACGGAUGCGAGUACCCGGGUGGCAAGCCCGCGUGCGCAAUGAAAGUGAAGGGCGUGCCCCGCCAACCGACCUUGAUCUUCUGUGAAGGGUUUGAGUCGAGCAUCACUGUCGGGACCCGAAAGAUGGUGAACUAUGCCUGAGGAGGUUGAAGUCUGCCGAAAGGCAGAUGGAGGACCGUAGCGAUACUGACGUGCAAAUCGUUCGUCGAACUUGGGUAUAGGGGCGAAAGACUAAUCGAACCAUCUAGUAGCUGGUUCCCUCCGAAGUUUCCCUCAGGAUAGCUUGGACGCAAGGGUUUUGU